RNAcentral lists this transfer RNA (73 nucleotides) under Nitrospinota bacterium. Its description in RNAcentral is "tRNA-Ala". It matches the Rfam family "tRNA". Rfam says of the family: Transfer RNA (tRNA) molecules are approximately 80 nucleotides in length. Lineage: Bacteria; Pseudomonadati; Nitrospinota. The record is from RNAcentral.
GGGGGCGUAGCUCAAAUGGUAGAGCGCUCGCUUAGCAUGCGAAAGGUACCGGGAUAGAUACCCGGCGCCUCCA